GUCCAGAGAUGGGAGCCGAACCCACAGUGUUCCGCUUACCGGGCAGAUGCCAUGUCCACUAGGCUACCCUGGA
RNAcentral lists this transfer RNA (73 nucleotides) under Cordylochernes scorpioides. RNAcentral's name for it is "tRNA-Thr". Lineage: Eukaryota; Metazoa; Arthropoda; Arachnida; Pseudoscorpiones; Chernetidae. The record is from RNAcentral.